This 85-nucleotide transfer RNA is filed under the name Felis catus (domestic cat). It matches the Rfam family "tRNA". From Rfam's summary of the family: Transfer RNA (tRNA) molecules are approximately 80 nucleotides in length. Their secondary structure includes four short double-helical elements and three loops (D, anti-codon, and T loops). The record is from Rfam by way of RNAcentral. Lineage: Eukaryota; Metazoa; Chordata; Mammalia; Carnivora; Felidae.
GCCUGGGUAGCUCAAUCAGUUGAGCACCCGACUUCAGCUCAGGUCAUGAUCUCAUGGUUUGUGAGUUCGAGCCCCGCCUUGGGCU